GAUGAACGCUGGCGGCGUGCCUAAUACAUGCAAGUCGAGCGAACAGACGAGGAGCUUGCUCCUCUGACGUUAGCGGCGGACGGGUGAGUAACACGUGGAUAACCUACCUAUAAGACUGGGAUAACUUCGGGAAACCGGAGCUAAUACCGGAUAAUAUAUUGAACCGCAUGGUUCAAUAGUGAAAGACGGUUUUGCUGUCACUUAUAGAUGGAUCCGCGCCGCAUUAGCUAGUUGGUAAGGUAACGGCUUACCAAGGCGACGAUUCGUAGCCGACCUGGGAGGGUGAUCGGCCACACUGGAACUGAGACACGGUCCAGACUCCUACGGGAGGCAGCAGUAGGGAAUCUUCCGCAAUGGGCGAAAGCCUGACGGAGCAACGCCGCGUGAGUGAUGAAGGUCUUCGGAUCGUAAAACUCUGUUAUUAGGGAAGAACAAAUGUGUAAGUAACUAUGCACGUCUUGACGGUACCUAAUCAGAAAGCCACGGCUAACUACGUG
This 497-nucleotide ribosomal RNA is filed under the name uncultured bacterium. Its description in RNAcentral is "partial 16S ribosomal RNA". It matches the Rfam family "Bacterial small subunit ribosomal RNA", at positions 28 to 507 of the family's 1533-position model. The record is from RNAcentral.